GGGCCUGUAGCUCAGUUGGCCAGAGCGCCCGCCUUGCACGCGGGAGGCCAGGGGUUCGAAUCCCCUCGGGUCCA
Molecule: non-coding RNA, 74 nt
Organism: Candidatus Roizmanbacteria bacterium
Lineage: Bacteria; Candidatus Roizmaniibacteriota
Source: Rfam